Molecule: long non-coding RNA, 926 nt
Filed under: Homo sapiens (human)
Lineage: Eukaryota; Metazoa; Chordata; Mammalia; Primates; Hominidae
Description: HSALNT0393381
Source: RNAcentral
AUUAUAAGGCAGUUCAUAGAUGCUGCUGCUGCUGCUGCUAGCAUUUCAUCUGCUGAGAAUCACACUCAGUAGCAACAGCCGUCCAAGAUACAGCCCUGCGGGGCUUUGAGUGUUAACGUUGGGUGCAUAGUGAUGAGGCUUUUUUAAAGCCUUGAAACGGGGCCAACUGGUAAUACCUAAGGAACAUUUCCUGGCAAACAGAAAAAGCUCUCUUGGUCUUUAAAGUUCAUGACAGAUUCCCUAAGUGUUUGUAAAACAUCUGCCAACCACACUGAUGGGCUCUCACACAAAGCUCUUCUACCAGAGGCAAGCAUUUUCACCAGCCAUUUUGAAUUUGAUGUGCUCAGCACUUUGAGGUAGCUGGCUCCUGGGCGUAAGUCAGAUUCUGACUCACUGGCUGGAUCACCAUCCUCAGGACCCCUUGCAGGAGUCUCACACUGUCGCCCAGGCUGGAGUGCAAUGGCACAAUCUCGGCUCACUACAACCUCUGCCUCCCAGGUUCAAGCGAUUCUCCUGCCUCAGCCUCCCAUCUUCAAAUAUUUUUGUACCCUUAUCUUAUUUUUUCAGGAACUCCAGUUUCACAAAUAUUAGCCCAAGUGAAAUUGGCCCACAGAUCACUGAUCCUCUGUUCAUUAAAAAAAAAAUAAAAGUCUCUGUGAUGGUUGAUUUUGGGUAUCAACUUGCCUGGAUUAAGGGACACUUAGGUACCUGGGAAAGCAUUGUUUAUUCUCAGUGCUUCAGUGGGCACUGAGCACAUCCCUUUUCUGCUGAAAGGGAAACCCAGAUGGCUUGCCAUUUGAUUGGAAUGAUUGGGCUCCCCCAGGAAUGUUUGAGAGGGUGUUUCCAGAUGACAUUGGCAUAUGAGUUGGUGGACUGAGUGGGGAAGAUCUAGCUUCAAUGUGGAUGGACAUCAUCCAAUCAGCUGG